AUUGAACGCUGGCGGCAUGCCUUACACAUGCAAGUCGAACGGCAGCACGGGUGCUUGCACCUGGUGGCGAGUGGCGAACGGGUGAGUAAUACAUCGGAACAUGUCCUGUAGUGGGGGAUAGCCCGGCGAAAGCCGGAUUAAUACCGCAUACGAUCGACGGAUGAAAGCGGGGGACCUUCGGGCCUCGCGCUAUAGGGUUGGCCAAUGGCUGAUUAGCUAGUUGGUGGGGUAAAGGCCCACCAAGGCGACGAUCAGUAGCUGGUCUGAGAGGACGACCAGCCACACUGGGACUGAGACACGGCCCAGACUCCUACGGGAGGCAGCAGUGGGGAAUUUUGGACAAUGGGCGAAAGCCUGAUCCAGCAAUGCCGCGUGUGUGAAGAAGGCCUUCGGGUUGUAAAGCACUUUUGUCCGGAAGGAAAUCCUUGGCUCUAAUACAGUCGGGGGAUGACGGUACCGGAAGAAUAAGCACCGGCUAACUACGUGCCAGCAGCCGCAGUAA
Molecule: ribosomal RNA, 502 nt
Filed under: uncultured bacterium
Lineage: Bacteria
Description: partial 16S ribosomal RNA
Rfam family: Bacterial small subunit ribosomal RNA
Source: RNAcentral